GUUGAAGGUUCAGCAAGAAGAAAAGCAUCGGUGCAAAGAAAUCUAGAGAAGUGGAAAUAUAGGUAUUGUGUUACUUGGCUUCACUAUUUCCAGAAAACAUAAACUUGUUUUGGCAAGAUGAGGUACCAAGUUAUGUAGUCAAUAAUCCAGAGUGCUUAUCAUGCUCGGCCAUCUGGCCAGACCUCUGCAUUGCCUCCUACAAGUAGUACAAAUAAACCUGGUAGUGAAGUGAAGUCUUCUGAGAGACCUGGUAACACAUGAUUACAAAGAAGUUCCUCAAACCAAAUGCAACCACCAAGU
Lactuca sativa (garden lettuce) is the source of this 300-nucleotide long non-coding RNA. RefSeq lists it as uncharacterized. The record is from RefSeq and is a predicted model, not a curated record. Lineage: Eukaryota; Viridiplantae; Streptophyta; Magnoliopsida; Asterales; Asteraceae.